UGAAAGUGUUGCAGUGUCUGGAACUUUUAAUAGCACUACCAGCCAUGACAUCUGUGCCUGGAACAGUAAGAACAGAUUAACCCUUACAGAGGUCUCCGGGAAAGGGACCUGCCUAGGAAACCCACCAGCUGCAUACAGGCAUCUCUGUAAUGAGAUUCUCAGGAGCCCUCAAACCUCUACUAACAGAUUCUUAAUACCCACGCUUGAAAAAUGGUGGGCAUGUGGGUCAGGACUAACCCCUUGUAUUUCUACUUCUGUCUUUGAUGACACCAAAGACUAUUGCAUACUGUGCAGCUGGUCCCUCGGGUUUAUUAUCACCCUGCAGGCACUCUUGAAGAUGAGUUUGACAAACAUCUGAGACGCUUCCACAGGGAACCCAUUUCAUUGACCUUAGCAGUCAUGUUGGGACUCGGGGUAGCUGCAGGUAUGGAAACAGGCACAGCAGCAUUAAUACAGACCCCUCAAUAUUUCCAUGAACUGAGGUUGGCAGUAGAUGAAGAUUUACAAGCCAUAGAACAGUCUAUAUCUAAGCUUGAAGAAUCACUGACCUCCCUCUCAGAGGUGGUCUUGCAAAACAGGAGAGGUCUAGAUUUACUGAUCCUUAAAGAAGGAGGACUGUGUGCUGCCUUAAGAGAAGAAUGUUGCUUUUAUGUAG
RNAcentral lists this long non-coding RNA (655 nucleotides) under Rattus norvegicus (Norway rat). RNAcentral describes it as "long non-coding RNA NONRATT025486". Lineage: Eukaryota; Metazoa; Chordata; Mammalia; Rodentia; Muridae. The record is from RNAcentral.